Molecule: long non-coding RNA, 1493 nt
Organism: Amphiprion ocellaris (clown anemonefish)
Lineage: Eukaryota; Metazoa; Chordata; Actinopteri; Pomacentridae
Source: Ensembl
UGCAGUUAUGCUCAUACUUUUUUAAUGUAUCACAAUGAGCAAGAAACAUACUUGAUGAAAUAUUUUCAAAGGAGUAUAUUCAAUUACCAUCUACAAUCAACUUAACUAGGACAACAAGGUUUUGUGACAAAAGUUUCUUUAAAAGUCUGAAGUUCCAUGUGGUUGUAUGUAUGUUAGUUUCCAUGUAAUUUGGUACAGUUUGGAAAUCUUCAUAUAAUUACAGUAACAAAAAAGCUAACAAGACUACAGUAUAGAAAAGACAUCAAGAACAACAUUUUUGGUUUAACUUGCUCUUUUUUGUACAUUGCAAGGCUGUUUUUUUCUACCCUCAGAUGGGCUGCCUGGAGCCACAGAGCCAUGCUUAUGAGGCUCAAAGGAGGAGUAAUUCAAGGAAACAAAAAGAAAAACUAAACGCAUAAAAAAACAUUGUGGCACCAGAAGUCACAAAAGGAACAGAGAGCUCCAAGUAACAGUUCAUCUUUGAAGUUGGAGCAAAUGGUUGUUUGGUUGUUAGUUUGGUUGUUAAUUUUGGUUAAUACGCUUUUUUAGUGUAACUGCCUCCUUAAGAAUGACAGCUUCGAGAACCCUGCCCCUCUCUAUGUUAUUAAUUUCUCUAUUUAGAUUAUGUAACCAACAGAGAGAGGGGUGAGCCGCCAUUUGACUGGAGAGCUUUACUUGUCAACCAGAGACAAGCACAAGGAAAUGAAACGGGUAGCAACAUGAACUGGAAGAAAUGAAGCAAGCAUCUCUGUCCAUCCUGUCCUGAAAUUUUGAAAAUGUCCAUCAAAGCGCAGAAGCAGAGGCAGAGCUGGAGAAAGAAAGGACAGACAGAAAGGAGAAAGAGGCAGCUGGAGCCACUUAAGUUCAGUUUCAUCUAAGGACUUUCCUCUGUGUGUCACACAUGUCCAUUGGUUCCAGAGUCCAUUCCCAUUACAGAGUUGUCAGUAAUCAAAUAAGGAGGUGGUUUUUAAAGCUGUUUUGAGCCUGCCUUCGGCUCCCAUGCCCAGUUUUGGUGUGCCCACAGCCUCUUGUGUCCUCCUAACAAGAUCUCCAAAGCUUCCCAGAGUCCUUUUUUUAAAAUUUCUUUUCAUUCCUUCUUCAUCUCAAAAACAAACAAACAAACAAAAAAAAAAUACAAAACAAAAAAAGUUGAUGUCUUGUUUUAAAUAUAUCUAUAUCUGUAUACAGGUACACGUUCGUUUUCACAGUGGGCAAAAGAUGACCUCUACAGCAAAACCUUGUCUUUAUCUCUCACUUGUAAUUGUCCAUUAAAUCAAGUAUCCCAAUGUAAGUCAGUGGAUCCAUGUAUCCACAAUAGCGUUUUGUGCCACAAUAAAAUAUACACUUAUCUGGGGCACAAUUUUUUUUUUUCUUUUUGUUUCAACUGCAUAAAGCUUUGGCCACAUUCAUAUAUUCAAUCAAAGUAAAAACUGCUCAGUGCUUCGGUAUCGUCAUUCUCAUUUCUGGUCAUUAUCUUUUAAAUUUGAUUUUUC